This 1414-nucleotide ribosomal RNA is filed under the name Microbacterium sp. MIS. RNAcentral describes it as "bacterial SSU rRNA". It matches the Rfam family "Bacterial small subunit ribosomal RNA". Lineage: Bacteria; Bacillati; Actinomycetota; Actinomycetes; Micrococcales; Microbacteriaceae. The record is from RNAcentral.
GGCGGGUGCUUACCAUGCAGUCGAACGGUGAAGCCCAGCUUGCUGGGUGGAUCAGUGGCGAACGGGUGAGUAACACGUGAGCAAUCUGCCCCUGACUCUGGGAUAAGCGCUGGAAACGGCGUCUAAUACUGGAUACGAACCGUGGAGGCAUCUUCAACGGUUGGAAAGAUUUUUUGGUCAGGGAUGAGCUCGCGGCCUAUCAGCUUGUUGGUGAGGUAAUGGCUCACCAAGGCGUCGACGGGUAGCCGGCCUGAGAGGGUGACCGGCCACACUGGGACUGAGACACGGCCCAGACUCCUACGGGAGGCAGCAGUGGGGAAUAUUGCACAAUGGGCGAAAGCCUGAUGCAGCAACGCCGCGUGAGGGAUGACGGCCUUCGGGUUGUAAACCUCUUUUAGCAGGGAAGAAGCGAAAGUGACGGUACCUGCAGAAAAAGCGCCGGCUAACUACGUGCCAGCAGCCGCGGUAAUACGUAGGGCGCAAGCGUUAUCCGGAAUUAUUGGGCGUAAAGAGCUCGUAGGCGGUUUGUCGCGUCUGCUGUGAAAUCCCGAGGCUCAACUUCGGGUCUGCAGUGGGUACGGGCAGACUAGAGUGCGGUAGGGGAGAUUGGAAUUCCUGGUGUAGCGGUGGAAUGCGCAGAUAUCAGGAGGAACACCGAUGGCGAAGGCAGAUCUCUGGGCCGUAACUGACGCUGAGGAGCGAAAGGGUGGGGAGCAAACAGGCUUAGAUACCCUGGUAGUCCACCCCGUAAACGUUGGGAACUAGUUGUGGGGUCCAUUCCACGGAUUCCGUGACGCAGCUAACGCAUUAAGUUCCCCGCCUGGGGAGUACGGCCGCAAGGCUAAAACUCAAAGGAAUUGACGGGGACCCGCACAAGCGGCGGAGCAUGCGGAUUAAUUCGAUGCAACGCGAAGAACCUUACCAAGGCUUGACAUAUACGAGAACGCUGCAGAAAUGUAGAACUCUUUGGACACUCGUAAACAGGUGGUGCAUGGGUUGUCGUCAGCUCGUGUCGUGAGAUGUUGGGUUAAGUCCCGCAACGAGCGCAACCCUCGUUCUAUGUUGCCAGCACGUAAUGGUGGGAACUCAUGGGAUACUGCCGGGGUCAACUCGGAGGAAGGUGGGGAUGACGUCAAAUCAUCAUGCCCCUUAUGUCUUGGGCUUCACGCAUGCUACAAUGGCCGGUACAAAGGGCUGCAAUACCGUGAGGUGGAGCGAAUCCCAAAAAGCCGGUCCCAGUUCGGAUUGAGGUCUGCAACUCGACCUCAUGAAGUCGGAGUCGCUAGUAAUCGCAGAUCAGCAACGCUGCGGUGAAUACGUUCCCGGGUCUUGUACACACCGCCCGUCAAGUCAUGAAAGUCGGUAACACCUGAAGCCGGUGGCCCAACCCUUGUGGAGGGAGCCGUCGAAGGUG